UUGCUUUGUUUUGGGUUUGAGUUUUAUUGUCGUUGAAACCGUCAUUCCUCAUGGCAUCCACCAGAUAUCACCUACAUGCAGAGCCCCUGGGAAGCUGCUGGGUUCAACCCGUGUACACACAUGCAGCUCGUUUGGAGGGCGUGGAUUAUGGAUAUAGCAGCAGCUCCUCUUCUUCUCAUCGCCUGAGUGUUUGCUUACUUCGGUAACUAUUCGUUCCAGAGAAAGGCCCUCUGAGAUCUGCUCUGCUCUAACUCUUUGUUGUCUUCCUCGUCAGAUGAUCCUGCUGUCCCCACGCUGUUCUGGUGAGAUCAGUCCAUCCCAGGUUCCGAGUGAGUCUGUGUCCCCGUUGUUGUGGAUUACCUACCUCCUGUGUCCUUCCUCAACACUGUCGGUGUUACCGGUCAGACGCCACUCCUUGUGUGCUCACCUUUCCCCCUCGUCGGUCCCUUGCCAGUGGAUUCCCCUUCGGAAGCUUCCGGGUCAGGAGAUCCAAGCCCGAACCCAGCCGGAGAACGAAUACUAUCAGACCACAGUCAAAGCCGCUCUGCCAGCAAUAAACAAACCAGUCCGCUCUCCAACGUAACCUAACCGCCCAGUGCUCGGCUCAAGUUUCAUCACCUUCCCACAAAUAAGACGACUCGGUCAUCAGCUCCAGUACUCACUCCCUGAUUCCUUCCCUGACUUCAAUAAAACUAUCAUUGUACAUUUUAUCGGUCUCUUCUGCUUGUGUUCUUGCAUGUGGGUUC
Long non-coding RNA from Poecilia latipinna (sailfin molly), 746 nucleotides. RefSeq lists it as uncharacterized. The transcript is spliced from 2 exons. The record is from RefSeq and is a predicted model, not a curated record. Lineage: Eukaryota; Metazoa; Chordata; Actinopteri; Cyprinodontiformes; Poeciliidae.